This 12477-nucleotide long non-coding RNA is filed under the name Physcomitrium patens. RNAcentral describes it as "long non-coding RNA (PPAT_LNC009379)". The record is from RNAcentral. Lineage: Eukaryota; Viridiplantae; Streptophyta; Bryopsida; Funariales; Funariaceae.
GUGUUUGAUAAGUUAAACAAGGCACUCUUUAUUGCUUCAAUGUUGCAACCAUAUGAUCCUAAUCUCCCUUGCACGCUUGACAUUGAUGCUUUCAACUUUGCUAUUAGAGUGAUCUUUCAAUAAGACUUUGGUAGGAGCCUUCAACCUAUGGCAUAUGAAUCAUGCAAGCUUAGAAGAGCAAAGUGUAAUUACUUUGCAUGUGAUUUAGAGCAAUUAGCAAUUAUACACUCUGCAAAGUUGUGGCGAUAUUAUCAAUUGGGAAGCCAAUGAUUAUUCAGAUUGACCAUUGAUCCUUGUGUCAAGGACAUAAUCAUGUAAGCUAGUAAUUACAUAUAUAAAUAGAUAGAAGUAAGUAAAAGUAGGUAAAAGUAAGUUAAUUCUAUAGUAUUUAAUAUAAAAGCUUUCUAGAAGCUUCAUAGAUGUUGUUUUGACUUCAUAGGUGUCUUUAAUUAACUUUUUGGAUUAAAAACGUGGUCAACAAGUUGGCCAUGUACCACACAUGUUGUUAGCUUGAAGAUCAAGCUAACUAUAUAGUCCACACGUAGAAAAACUUGCCUUAUAAGUCAAGGCAUGUGUCCUACAAAGUCAAUACAUAUUAGAGGUCCUAUAGAACAUCUCCACAUAGCUCCUAGUUAGAUAGUAUAUAUAGAGACAAGAGUGAAGGCUUCUUCACUCUUGUCAACUCUUUUCUUGCUUCUAGUCUAGUUUCAAGGGUCUCUAGUUUUCUUGUCUUUUGGCAAUAGCCAUUCCAGUUUCUCUUUCAAUUUAUAUACUUGUUUAUAUAUAUUUUGUUACCUCUCUUUGAGUGAAGGCUCACUUGUCUGAAUUAUUUUUUCAUCGAGUUCUUGUCCUUGACAGAUUGACAAGAGUACACCUACAAUAUCAGAGCUUUGUCUAAUCUUGAUUAAGAGUGGAUUAUCCCUUUUUCUUGAUAAGAUAUAAGCAUAUUAGAAGUUGCAGAUUACCCUCUUCUAAACUGAUAUUGUCCUUAGUAUUUUUUUUGUUCCCAAGUCCUCUCUUCUAUUUGUCUUGAGCGAUAUUAGACAUCUUCUCUCUUCUAAGUGUUAUUAUGGCAGAACUUGUUGAAAUGAAGAAUGCAAUGGCAUAAAUGCAAGAGCAAUUAAGGGAGUUAAUGCUUACGAUGCAUCAACUCAAUUUACCACCACAAGGAGCAACAAGAUUGGUAGGAAGUGAAGAUAUAGAAAUGGUUGGAGCUGCUUUAACAUCUGGACCAAACCAUGUCCUUUCUCCUAUAGUGGAACGCCCUUCAAAUGUUAGAGAACCAAGAAUUGCCCUACACGAGAUGUUUGAUGGCACCAGAUCCAAGUUUCGAGGAUUUAUCAAUCAAGUGCAACUUGUGAUUGAACUUCAAUCCCAAAGCUAUGCAACUCCAAGAUUGUAAGUUAGAUUCAUUGGUACAAUUCUUUCAGAUUCAGCACUAUCAUGGUUUUCAUCUUCUCUUGAAUGAUGAGAUCCAAUAUUGGAUAAUCUAGAUUCUUUUCCGGUGGAGUUUCGAUCUAUGUAUAGAGAACAUGAUGCAAUUUGUGUUGCAACCAAUAAGAUCCGUAUUUUAUGACAAGUCAAUCAAUCAAUAACGUUAUACGCUUUAUAAUUUCAACAACUUGCAACUGAUAUCAAGUGGAAUGAUGCUGCAUUUAUUAGUCAAUUUCUCUAUGGAUUACAAUAUGAGGUAAAAAAAUUAAUGCUCAACUUACCUGAUCCUCAAACAUUGAGUCAAGCAAUUGACUUUGCUGUGAAGUACGACAAUCAUCUUUUUGAAUUUUGAUCUAAGAACCGUACAAGUGGACCUCAACGUUACUAUAAUUCAAUGGCAACACCAACACCUCUUCAACACAUACAUUUGGAAGUAGAGGAUAUGCAAAUUGAUGCAGUACGUUUCAAACCUCUUACUGAGCAAAAAAAGACUUGUCGUCGUUAAGAAGGAUUAUGUUUAUAUUGUGGAGAACCAAAGCAUACUGCUCAACAUUGUCCAAAGAAACGACGCAAUCACAAAAUGAGGAGUAUGGCUGUCAAAGAAGACAAUAUGUCAGAAAACGAGUUUGUUCAGUUACAAUAAGGAUUGUGCGGCUAGAACCUUGCACAACAUCUACUAAAGGUCCUAUUCUCUCCUCAAAGCCCUCUCCUUAUUUUACAUUAAAUGUUAUUUUAGGACCUAAACAUUACAAAGUCUCUGCCUUGUUAUAUUCAGGAGCCUCAGCGUGUUUUUUAGAUGAAGAAUUUACCAAAAGACAUAGCAUAUCUUUAGUAAAGAAAACUAAACUUGUUCAUGUAGAAGUCAUAGAUGAUCGUCCAUUGUCUUCUGGAGAUAUUACUCACGAAAUCCUUCCUAUAGAAAUAAUAAUCAAUGGUCAUAAUAGUUUUGUAGUAUUUAAUAUCAUUAGAUCUCCCUCUAAUCCAGUCAUUUUAGGUUUAUCGUGGUUAGAAAAAUACAACCCUCAAAUAGAUUGGAUUUCUCGAACUCUUACUUUCUCUAAAAGUAUAACUAAUAGUGUAGUUAAUCAAGUAGAGAGUCAUAAGUCCAGUUCAAUUAAACCCGUAUUUAUAGGUGCAAAAGCUUUUUUGCAUGCUGCUAUGAAAGAAUCACCAUAUAUUAUUUAUGCCACAUCCAUUUCUACUAGUGAAAAGACUUCAAGUGGCAUUCCAAGCCAAUAUCAAGAAUUUCAAGAUGUAUUUGAAAAAAAGAAUGCGGAUACACUCCCAGAACAUCGUCCCUAUGAUUGCUCAAUUGACCUUCAAGAAAGAGUACAAUCGCCAUUCGGACCAAUCUACAGUUUAUCACAAAAUGAGUUGACUGAACUCAAGGAAUAUAUUGAAGAAAAUCUAGCCAAGAAUUUCAUAUGCAUUCUAAAUCUCCGACAGGAGCUCCAAUUCUAUUUGUGAAGAAAAAAGAUGGAUCAUUGCGGAUGUGUGUUGAUUAUCGAGGACUCAACAAGAUUACCAUCAAGAACAUGUAUCCACUACCUUUAAUAUUUGGUCUUCUUGAUCAACUGAAUCAAGCUAAGAUCUAUACAAAAAUAAAUCUUCGGGGAGCAUACAAUCUAGUAUGCAUCAAAGAAGGAGAUGAAUGGAAGACUGCGUUUCGAACUAGGUAUAGACAUUUUGAAUACAACGUCAUAUCUUUUGGACUUACAAAUGCACGAGCAGCUUUUCAACAUCUAAUGAAUGAUGUUUUUUGAAAGUUUUUGGACGAUUUUGUGGUCUAUUAUCUAGAAGACAUCUUGAUCUAUUCUAAGAAUCCUGAACAACAUGAACUUCAUGUUCAUCGUGUGUUACAAAAAUUAAGAGAUAUAGGACUCUAUGCUAAGAUAGAAAAGUGUGUAUUCCACACUACUCAAGUCGAUUUCUUAGAUUAUAUCAUUUCAAAUGAUGCACUUAUGAUGGAUCCUAAGAAAGUUCAAACUAUUAUAGACUAGAAGAUCCCAAAAACGGUAAGAGAUGUCCAAUAUUUUUUGGGAUUUGCCAACUACUCUCGGAUCUUCAUCAAAGACUUCUCUCGAGUUGCAGCUCCACUUACAUAUUUGACUUGUAAAGACAAACUCCAAUGGAAUCAAGAAGCGGAAGUUGCUUUUGAAUCUUUGAAGACACCAUUUGUUUCUGCACCAAUUUAAUAUCGUGUUGAUUUUUCCAAAGCAUUCUUUAUGGAAACAGAUGCAUCGGACUUUGCUCUGGGUGCGAUUUUAUCACAAAUGGGAACAAAUGACAAACUUCAUCCAGUAGCCUUUCAUUCAAGAAAAUUCUCAGCAGCAAAAAUCAAUUAUGAGAUCCACGAUAAAGAACUUCUUGCAAUUGUGGAUUCUUUUUAAGAAUGGUGUCAUUAUCUAGAAGGCACUUUUAAUCCAGUUACCGUGUAUAUGGAUCACAAGAACCUCAAAUAUUUUAUGUCAACACGCGUAUUAAAUCAUCGCCAAGCUCGUUAGAGCAUGUCUUUAUCAAGAUUCGAAUUCAUCAUCACUUAUCGGCCAGGAAAAUAACAAGGUUUGUUCGAUGCCUUGUCUAGACAUUCUUAUCUUGCACCAAAAGAAGGAGAUGCAACUUUUGAGGAACAAAGAACGAUUUUCUUGAAGCCAGAGCAAUUUCAUCUUGGAGCAUUAAAAUCAACAUUGACUGUUGAUUUAACUUUUCUUAAGCAAGUCCAGUUAAGUAUGUCUUUAGACCCUCUUGUUCAUGAUAUCAAGAAUAAUUCUUCUAAAUCUCAUGAUCCUUCUAAAUUUGAAUUCAAGAAUAACCUACUCUAUUUCGAAGGAUGCCUAUAUGUUCCAGAAGGAGAAGCACGUUUACGUAUUCUUCAAGCUCGUCACGAUUUUCCAGCAGCAGGACAUUUUAGAUAUAAUAAGACUUUGGAGCUGAUACCUAGGGAUUUUUGGUAGCCUCAAAUAUGGAAGGCAGUUAAAGACUUUGUACAAUCAUGUGAUAUUUGCUCAAGAUCAAAAACUCCUUGUCAUCGACCUUUUGGACUUCUUCAGCCAUUACCCAUUCCACAACAACCAUGGUUUUUUGUUUCUAUAGACUUCAUCACGGAUCUUCCAAUCUCAGGUUUUAUGACUCUAUAUUCAUGAUAGUAGAUCCUUUUACCAAGAUGGCACAUUUUGUACCAUGUACAAAAUCUAUCAGAGGUGAAGAAACAGCUAAACUCUUUCUUGACAAUAUCUAUCGCUAUCAUGGAUUACCCAAGGAUAUUAUAUCAAAUAGGGGAACUCAAUUUGUAUCAAGAUUUUGGCGGACUCUUUUCAUGAUUCUAAAAGUAGAUAUAAAACUAUCUUUGGUAUUCCAUCCUCAAAUUGAUGGACAAACGGAGCGUGUUAAUCAAGUUUUAGAACAAUAUUUAAGAUGUACCAUUAAUUACCAACAAGAUGAUUGGACAACUCUUUUGUCAUUGGCAGAGUUUGCUUACAAUAACACGGUACAUUCUUCUACAAAACAAACACCUUUCUUUACUAAUUAUGGUUAUCAUCUACAACUUGAUACUUUUGACUUUUCAAAAGUUGAUAAUCCUGCUGCGAAAGAUUUAGCAAUUUAUUUAUCAGAGCUGCAUGCAAUGAUGAAGGUGCAGUUAAAAGAGGCUCAAGAACAACAAAAGGUCAAUGUGGAUGUCUAUCGAAAGGAACAACCAUCAUUCGUCUUGGGUGAAAAGAUAUGGCUACUUUGUCGCAAUAUCAAGACCACUCGUCCUUGUGACAAGUUGGACUAUCGAAGGGUAUGACCAUUUUCUAUUUCUGCACAAAUCAAUCCAGUUGCAUAUCGUUUACAUCUACCAGAGUCAAUGAAAAUCCAUCUAGUAUUCCACGUGUCUCUUCUUGAACCAUACAAGACAGUGGACAUACCAAGAAGACGACAAGCUCCACCUCCUCCUAUAGAAGUGGACAGUAAUAAAGAAUUUGAAGUAGAAGAAGUCUUAGAUUCAAGGCGGCGUCGAAAUAAAUUAGAAUAUCUUGUCCAUUGGCACGGAUAUGGUAUUAGUGAACGCACAUGGGAGCCAAUAAAGAAUCUUGCAAAUGCAACAAAGGCGGUGGAGGCUUUUCAUCGACGACAUCCAUCAAUAUCAAGUUGAAAACCUUCUUUAUAAAAGAAACAACAUCUAGGCAAGAUAACAUUCUACUUUCAAUUCUUGUUCGUAGCUUCUUUGUAGUAGUGACGCUCAGGAGAUGGAGAACCAACAACCAGCGAAUUUGACUCAAGAGCCUUCAUUUGUUGACCUGUCGGAUGAGACAUUACGAUUGUCACAACCUUCAAGACGACGCAAUCAAGAUGAAGAUCUUCAAGAAUGACAUGUUCUUCCUCGAAUAGAUGGCGAGAUACAACGCAUUUGGUAUCACGAUUUGGGAAGGGACUCCCGAUGUUUGGUGAUUGUACUAAAGGUAGGAACAACUCCUGAUGGUGUUCCAAAUAUUCUAUUCGAAGGAAGUUACGAAGGCCUCAACAAUGAUCAAAUAAUUGGGUGGUCUUCCCGCCCUGGUAUGGGACACUACUAAUGGUUGAGAGGUCCUAUCAAUCAUCUUCGAAGUAAACAAAGAUCAUAGUAUAUAGCGAAUAUAAUUCGUCGCAUCAUAGAUUUCCUCAAUAUAUGAUGACCGCUCCUCAUAGAACUCGUUCCUAGAAGGGGGGAUAAUGUCACGGACAUAAUCAUGUAAGCUAGUAAUUACAUAUACAAAUAGGUAGAAGUAAGUAAAAGUAGGUAAAAGUAAGUUAAUUCUAUAGUAUUUAAUAUAAAAGCUUUCUAGAAGCUUCAUAGACACUACUUUGACUUCAUAGGUGUCUUUAAUUGACUUUUUGGAUUAAAAACGUGGUCAACAAGUUGACCAUGUACCACACAUGUUGUUAGCUUGAAGAUCAAGCUAACAAUGUGGCCCACACGUAGAAAAACUUGCCUUGUAAGUCAAGGCAUGUGUCCUACAAAGUCAACACAUAUUGGAGGUCCUAUAGAACAUCGCCAUGUAGCCCUUAGUUAGAUAGUAUAUAUAGUGACAAGAGUGAAGGCUUCUUCACUCUUGUCAACUCUUUUCUUGCUUCUAGUCUAGUUUCAAGGGUCUCUAGUUUUCUUGUCUUUUGGCAAUAGCCAUUCCAGUUUCUCUUUCAAUUUAUAUACUUGUUUAUAUAUAUUUUGUUACCUCUCUUUGAGUGAAGGCUCACUUGUGUGAAUUAUUUUUUCAUCGAGUUCUUAUCCUUGACACCUUGCUAUAUAAUUUGUAUUUGAAAAAUAUGAAAUUAUAGCAUCAUUAUUAAGAAAAACAGUUGCAGUUUUUUGAUAUCGAGCUUGAAUAUAAGUAAAGGCAAUAAUAUAUUGUGUCAAACAGUUUAUUAUGGAGAUCAGACUUAAAGGACGGAUUAAAAGAUAUGGCAAAAGUCGCUACCAUUAGAAGUAUCAUUUUCGAUCUAAUCAAUGAAGCAAAGUAAAAAGCAGCUACGCAACAAGAUGUUUAUUUUAAGAUGCUUAGUAAUUGGCUCAAGAAAGAUGAUAUAUAAUAUCAAAAUUAUACUCUUGCUUGCUCUAUUUCAAGAAGCAAAUUUAUGUCCUCGACAAUACUAAAUUCCAGAUGCGCAUACUUUAAGAAGGAAAUGAUAUCCCAUUAUUUGGACAUUUGUGACAAGACAAAAUCCUAAAUCAAAUCUCAAGGAUAUGAUUUUAGGCAGGUUUGGAUCAUGAUAUUCAAGCCUUUAUACACUCUUGUGAGUCAUGUCAAAGUAACAAAGCACGUAACAUAGUAUCUUUUAGACUAUUGCUGACAAUUUUGCUACAUACAAUACGUUGAGAAGAAGUGACUAUGGAUCUCAUUACAUGUUUGCCAUAGACGCUUCAUAAUCAUAUCGUGGUUUCUAUCUUUGUAAAUCGACUCUUGAAGUAACUUCAUUUAGCUAUGAUGCACUUGGAUAUUGAUGCCUCAAUAUUUGUAUGAGUCUUUUUUAAUACCAUCUUUUGUCACCAUGAAUUAUUAAAAUAAAAGUAUUAUAAGUUACCUUAUAGAGGAUAUUAACUUAGAUAAGUUGCUAGUUGUCAAAGGUUUGACUCUUGGUAUAUAAUAAGGGCAUCCAAUGGAUAUAGGACGAAGUCAUGGACCAAGAGUCAAAGUCAAAAGGAUAAAGUAUUAACAAGAGAAUAUCCAAAGACUAAGUAUGAGUCAUUAGUAUGUGUCAUAGGAUAUUCUCGAGGCUCGUGAAAUGCCAAAAAGAUCCUUGGGCUACGUGUGUAAAAGUCAAAGAGUGGAAGUUAUCUUUUAGGGCAACAACCACUAUCUAUAAGUAAUGAGUAUUGGAAGUGAGAAACGUCUUAUUCCAUACUCUCUUUGUGUGCAACCUUACUGAUGCUAAGUAUUGUGUCUUCAAAGUGCUUGUUCUUCAAUAUGAAUUACUUUGUAUUAACAUUUUAGAUCAAGAUCCAUACUUCAUAAGAAGUUUUUGAUAAACCUUAUUUAAGCUAUUAGGCACAUGACUUGCCAUAUCUACAGCCCUCCAUCUCUAAACAGAUGGACAAACACAACGUGCAAAUUGGACCUUGGAAGAUAUAUUGUAGGCAUUUGUGGUGGUUCAUCAUAAUGAUUGAGAUGAAUACUUGAUGCAUUUAGAGUUUACUUACAAUAAUAGUAUUCAAGCAAGUAUUGAUCAUUUAUCAUUUUUUCUAAAUAUCAAUGAAUAUCCAUUUAUAUUAGUAACUUUUUAUUUUUUUUUAUUGAUAUCAAGAAUCCAAAAACGGAGGAAUUUAUACAAUAGCUUAUAAUGGCCUUACAAGAGGUACGAUACUACUUCCUUACUAUAUAGAAUCGAUAGAAGUAAUACAUAGAUAACCAUCAAUAAUACAAGAUCUUUCGAGAGGGUGAUCAAGUGUUACUCUCCAAUGCCAACUUGCCACUUGCUACAUCAAUCGAAAUCCAUAAACUAGUACCUCAGUAGCUUAGACCUUUCCACAUUUCUGUAGUGAUUUUUGAUGUUAUAUAUUGCCUCAAGCUUUCACCACAUAUUUGGAUCUAUCCAUUCUUUCAUAUUUUGCAAUUGAAGGAAUUUCAUAUCAAGCCAAAACACUUUCCAAAUCGACAUCGAUCACUACUACUACUAAUUGUAAUUGAUGAUCAACAAGAAUAUAAAGUGAAUAGUAUUUUCGAGCAUCACUACCUUUGUCGUGGUAGUAGACAUCAAGAACUUCAUUACAAAGUUCUUUAGAAAGAUUAUCUCAUUAACGAUGCAACAAGAGAAUGUAUACAAAAUCUCAUCCAUUGCCAAGAGGCAAUUUGGAAAUACCAUCGAGAGUAAAACGAGGAUGUUUUGUAUUAGUAGAGGAAAAUUAAUUGUAAUAUAUUAUAAAUAAGAUAAUUAUAUAGAUAGUUAGAACCAUGGAAGUUUCUAGAAUUGGGAUUAGGUUAGUGGACCAAGUAAGAUCUACCUUAGAAUCUUGUAGAAAAAGAAUUUAAGGGGGUUAUCUAAAUAGGAUCCACUACCUAAGAACAUUCUAGAAAGUCCAAGGUGGUAGGACAAGGUAGAAAUAGGAUUGGCGAGGUUUAGGGUUUAAGGUUUAGGAUUUAGGGUUUAGAGUUUUAGGUGGAAGAAGUCUUAGAUUUAAGGUGGCACUAAAAUAGAUUGAAAUAUCUUGUUAAUUGAUAGGAAUAUGAUAUAAAUAAAUACAUAUGGGAGCCAACAAAAAAUCUUGCAAAUGCAUCAAAGAAAAUUGAAGCUUUUAAUUGAUGAUUCAUGUUAAAAGCAAGAUGAAAAAUAAUAAGAUCCAUAAAAGUUGAUGAUUGCUCCUUAUAGAACUUUUUCUUAGAAGGAGAAGUAAUAUCAUGGAUAUAUAUAUUUACUCUAAUAAUUACCUAUAUGAUUAAGUAAAACUAGAUAAAAAACAAUUCAUUUCAUAAUAUUUUUUAGAAAAGCUUUCUAAAAGCUUCAUAGAUAUUACUUUGAUUUUAUACAUGUUUCUAGUUAAUUGAUAGGUUAGAAAUUUUGUCAACAAGUUAGGCAUGUAUUAUAUGUAUUAAUAGCUUGUGGAACAAGUUAAUUAUGUGGUGUAUAUAUAGAUAACUUAUGUUACAAGUUAAGCAUAUGUCUAGCAAAGUCAAUACGUAGUAGAGGUCCUAUAGCAUAUCGCCAAAUAGCUCUUAGUUAGAAAGUAUAUAUGGAGGCAAGAGUGAAGCCUCCUUCACUCUUAUCAAUGCCUUUCUAGUCCCUAGUCUUGUUUCAAGACUUUCUAAUCUUCUUUUCUUUGGUAAUAGUCAUUCUAGUUUACUACUAUAUCAAAUUUGAGUGAUUUUUUUAAUCUUUUUGAGUAACAUAAGAAUAUAUUGAUCUUUUAAUUCUUUGAGGUUUAUGUCCUUGAUAAUAAAUAGUCUUAUGAAGUCAAUACAUUAUACCCAGUUGAGGUGAGAUGAUGCCUUCCAGAACUUUCAUAUAGUUCUUCUUGAAGAUGUCUAUUCAAAAAAGUGAUUUUAACAUCUAUUUGAAGUUUGAUGUGCCACAAGACAAAGCUUUGAAGCAAUCCACAACCCCAUAACUUUUUAGCUUGAUUUUAUAUAUCCAUUUGCAUGUGAUGAGCUUGCAAUCAUAAGAAGCUAGGUGAAUGACCAUGUAGCAUUGACAACAUGAGAAUUUAGCUCUUCUUGUAUUACCAAUUGCCAUUGAGAGCCCUUAUAAGAAUUGAUGGCUUGAGAAUAGCUAGUAGGUUCAAUGGAAACAGUAGAAACCAUAAUGAGAGCUCAAGAAAUCUGUUUUGUUUCAGUACGAGGAGGAAGGGCCUCCAGGGCAUAGUUCUCAUCAGGGUCAUGCGGCGGAGGUACACCUUUACUGUGUCGAGAAGAACGUCGAACUGGAGCAGAAGGAGGCAGUUCGAGAGCCUCCAUGGAGCCAUAUCGGAUACAGAGGGGAAGUAGGCGGUCGGGCGGACUAGGCAUGCCUUCCGAGAUGAGGCAUGAGCUCCCGCUGGCGCGAUUAAUGCGGAUGGAUACCCAGUGGCUACGGGAGUCUCACAACGCACAGCCGGGGAUGACGAGGAUCCAGGGCCGCCCGGCGCGGGGUGUGGGCCAGCGCGCAAACCAGAGGAGCCUUCACAAGACCGCCGAGAGAAUUCGCCGCAGAGAAGACAGCGAGGCUGUCAAGGGGGUUCGCUGCGGAGGGGACUGCGAGGUUGCCACGUGGAGUCUGGGGAUGGUCAGGGGGAUCUGCUGAAGGAGGAACCUCGAGGUGGAUACUGGAAAAACGGGGUUGACCAUCGGGGUCAACCAUGGCGGAGGUGGGCAUGGUGUCAGCAGGGAGCACAUUCCCAUAGGCUCCAGAUGGCUGCUCCAAGAUGGGAUAACCCAUGGGUUGAAAAAUCCGCAAAUCCGUUGGAAUAAUGGCUUCAGGAGGAUUCAGGAAGUGUGAGGCAGGAGGAGAAUGAGCGACGGGCUCCUCCUGAAACACAUCUCUUGAAAUAAGAAGCACUCCAUUUGUGAUUCUUUGAAUCUUAUAUCCUUUACUAAGGGAGCUACAACCAAGCAAUAUAUAUUCAAAAGUUUUAUUGUCAAGUUUAACUCAAAGAGGAUCUUAAAUCUUUGCAAAACAUUGGCUUCCAAAGAUGCAAAGGUGAGCAAUAUCUGGUUUUCUUUUGCACCAUAAUUCAAAGGGAGUUUUGUCAUUUGAAAUUUCUUUGGUAGCACAACAAUUUUUAAGGUAUGUAGCAAAUGUGACAGCUUUGCCCCAAUAUGGUUUUGAUAAUUUAGCUUCAUCAAGCAUACAUCUAGUGGCAUUGAGAAGAGUGUGGUUUUUUUGUUCUGCAAUGCCAUUUUGACAAGGAGUAUAUGCUGAGGUAAGUUGAUGUUGAAUACCAUGAGUUUCCAAAUAUUAGUCAAAAUUAGAAGAGAGGUAUUCUCUUCCUUGAUCGGAGUGGACAACUUAUAGUUUAUAUCCCAUUUGAUUUUUAUCCCGUAUAUAUAAUAUUUUGAAUACAUUGAAGCAUUCACUCUUGCAAUGGAGAAGUUGGAGCACUGUACAACAAAAGAAAUUAUUCAUAAAUAUAACAUAAUAUUCAGACUUGGAGAAAGUAGGUGGGGCUAUAUGGCCAUUUAAAUCAGAAUGAACUAAUUGGAGGGAUUGAGUAGUUCAAUUUGUAGUUGCUUUUGGAAUUUUUGUCAUGGUUUGAUUUUAAUAAAGGCAUGUUAGGCAUAAUUGUGGGAGAACUCUUUUAAUGGAUAAACCUAUAACAUACUUAUUAGUGGCAAGUUGUAGUAAUCUUUUGGUACUUAUAUGCUCCAACCUAUGAUACUACAAAUUAAAAGAAUUUUGUAAAGAUGUUACAUAUUCUAAAUUCUAAAAAGUAAUAGCCAAAUUUGAAUACAUCUCAAGGAGAGUUUUUUUAUGUGAGUCUUUACCCUAAGUAAUAGUUAAAUUGGACUUUAUUUUUUUAUCUUGUAAUAUUGUGUUUUCAAGGAUAUAUGUGUUUUCAAGGAUAUAUAAAUACACAAGGUAAUUGUAAAAUCAUCUUUUAUAAGAAGUCUUCACAUAUGAUUUUUUGUGUUAUGAAUUUUGCUUAUAGAUAUGCUUGAGUGACGAUAUUACUUGUAGAAUAGGUAUUUUCAAGUGCAAGCCACGCUUCAUUGGCUAUUGUGCACUCUCCUAUAUGGGAGAACAUGGAAUUAUCUACACAAUCUCAUAUGGCGGCUAAUCUGCCAUGAUCUUGCUUUUUCCAUUGGGUGAUUGUAACUUGGUUAAUUGGUGGUGUUAACAUUGUUGCAUUGUCUUCCAAGAUUGGCUAGUUCUUUUUCUUUGCGAGAUACUAAUUCCUAUAAGUCUUCAAUUUCAAUUUUCAUUUGGAUUUUCUUUUUCCAAACUAUAUACCAAAAACCAUCAAACUUUGACCAUUCCUCGGUUGAUAGGCUUGUUGUUGCCAUUUUGAAGAGAAGGUAAGAGAAUUGGUGCCUCAAUUUCUAUGACAAAUGUCUUUGUCAAUACUUCCUUCUCUUGUGAUUGUUUAUUGUUUUUCUGGAAUUUCAAUGUCAAGAAUUC